This 322-nucleotide ribosomal RNA is filed under the name uncultured eukaryote. RNAcentral describes it as "partial 18S ribosomal RNA". It matches the Rfam family "Eukaryotic small subunit ribosomal RNA", at positions 1470 to 1796 of the family's 1831-position model. The record is from RNAcentral.
CCCUUAGAUGUUCUGGGCCGCGCGCGCGCUACACUGAUGCAUUCAACGAGUGUACCUUGGCCGAGAGGCCUGGGCAAUCUUUUGAACGUGCAUCGUGAUAGGGAUAGAUUAUUGCAAUUAUUAAUCUUGAACGAGGAAUUCCUAGUAAACGCAGAUCAUCAAUCUGCAUUGAUUACGUCCCUGCCCUUUGUACACACCGCCCGUCGCACCUACCGAUUGGAUGGUCCGGUGAAGCCUCGGGAUUGUGGCGGUUGCCUUUAUUGGUGGCCGCCGCGAGAACUUGUCUAAACCUUAUCGUCUAGAGGAAGGUGAAGUCGUAACA